Molecule: long non-coding RNA, 2758 nt
Organism: Equus asinus (donkey)
Lineage: Eukaryota; Metazoa; Chordata; Mammalia; Perissodactyla; Equidae
Source: Ensembl
GGGCACUAUUACAUGUUCCCAGUAUAAAACUCAGGCAACAUCAAUUUGAAGGCAGGAAAACUGAAGAAAUCCCCACAGAUUUAAAAAAGAAGUGGAGGGCAUGGCCGUGUAGCAUUUAGGUACCACAUAAAUGCCACGUGUUUACCUACCUCGAGUUCUCUGAAGGCAGGCCCUGGGCUAAAUGCACAUCUUUUACAAUGCCCAACCUGAUGUUUCUCAUUCUGACUGUGGUGCUGGGCCCUGAUUUUGAUCCCUGCUGUCAUUUCUCAGGUCCCACAAAACUGAGACAAGAUGGUGUGUGCUGGCGGGGGUGGCGGAGGGAGGGUGGGGACUUGGAAACAUUGUUUUCCUUGAGUAAACAGCAACUGCCACCAUCUGUGCAGACAGAGAUCCAGAAACAAACACUCUCGGCCUGUGGCUUUGACUCUUCCAUUGGCACCUCUGAAAACCAACCCAAGUAGCAGACUCUCCCAGUCCACAGUGCUUUGGGGAUCGCUGUGUCAAGCUGCUCCACUGUUUAGUAGUUUCUCUAAGGGGGAAGCCACGACAGCGAAGUCUAACAGAGCAGAGACCAGCCAAAAACACACAGUUGAUCAGUGAAGCUCUCUCUGAGGUCUCACGUGGCUUUUAACUGCUUUGCCCCAGAUUCCUGGCCAAUCCCUAGGGUUCUGGAUUUUUCACUAGACUCAGCUGCUUCUCUUUGGCAUUUCUAUCAACUGGAUUUGCAUUACCUGACCUUGGUCCCUCCUUUUCCUUUGUUUUCAUCUUAUGAAGAAAUACAGUAUAAUAUAAAGCAGUUAAGAGCUUAAACUGGAGCCAAACUGUCCCACUUCAGAUCCUCACUCCUACUUAACCCCUAGCUGAGUGACGUCAAGCAAAUCACCUCACCACUCUGUGCCUGCUCCUCAUUUGUCAAAUGGGGAUGUUAAGAGUCCCUAAUUUGGGGGGCUGGCCCGGUGGUGCAGUGGUUAAGUUCGCACGUUCCGCUUCUUGGCAGCCUGGGGUUUGCCAGUUCAAAUCCCAGAUGCAGACAUGGCACCACUUGGCACGCCAUGCUGUGGUAGGCAUCCCACAUAUAAAAUACAGGAAGAUGGGCAAGGAUGUUAGCUCAGGGCCAGUCUUCCUCAGCAAAAAAGGAGGAGGAUUGGCAGCAGAUGUUAGCUCAGGGCUAAUCUUCCUCAAAAAAAAAAAAAAUAGAAUUCCUAAUUCAUAGGGUUGCUAUGAGGAUUACAUAAGUUAACAAUUACAAAGCACUUCAAAAAAUGUCUAGCACGUGUUUGCUAAAUAUAAUAAAAAUUGUGGUUUUAGCAUGUGAAGAAUAGAGUAUUCCCAAAUAUUAGGAUGGAAGUAGACAUUAAAGGUUGAACUCUAUGAACCAUAAAAUCCCUCCAGUCCUGAGUUUUUAUGCUCCUGUGAGGAUCAUCAAUACUUCUCCAGACUCAUUUCCAUGCUGUUCUGAUUCCCACAUCUGGAACCUUGCUCCUAUGUAGCAACAGCCAAAUACUUUAAGGUUCAAGCUGAGAAGUUAUAAUAAAAUGUUUGUUAUUUAUACUGUAAAAGUUAAUUAGGAAUUCUUUAAUGAAAGUUUUACCUUUUUUGGAUAUGGAUUAGGGAAAUGGUCGGUACAGAUAGCUAAGAUAUGGUAUUAACCAAUGUAAAACUCAAGAGUUGUUUGAAAGCCGAAAAUGAUCUUUCAACUGUCUGAGAAAUGAGCUGUCAGGAGGCCUGAGGCCCAGCCUGAGCCCCUCUACUACCCGGCUAUGAAGCUUUGCCCCUCUCUCUGCCUGCUUCUCCUCUGUAAAGUAACUGCAGCAGGUUUCUUUACACAUUGAAUAAAAAAGUAAAACAAAAACUCAGCACUGAGAUAGAAUUGAGAGAAAAGUUUAUGUCUUAGAGAAGAACAGAACAAGAAGUAGAUUACUUUAUGUUAGAAUAAAAGCAUUUAAAAAUAAUUUGGAUGCCUUCAUUGCAGCGUGGAAUUAGGAGGCAGCCUAGAGGGCUCAGAACCCUGUUCUUGGAUUGGUUUACUCCACCAGGACCAACGCUGUACACCCAGCAGGAUACCCGGGAACGCUGCAUGAACAGCCAUGCUGUCACGUGCAGCAUGAACGAAUGGCUGUGCAUUCCCUAGUAACCACACACGGUGUAAUAAUUUUGAUGAGUUUGUAGGUUAAAUAUCUGAUACCAGGCAUCAAUAAAGAAUGUUAGCUCUACUUCCAUUUUUACAAGUGAGAAAUUGAAAGAACUCGUCAAAAAGUUACCUGGUGUUUUUUGCUGGCUUAUGAGACUUCUAAAACAUAACACAUAGUGCCACAUAGCAGAUGGACAAAAGCCUCCCUUGGGGGGGUAAGGUGGCGUCCUGCUAAUUUAGCUUUUGUCGGGAUCCGACUUUAAGAAGCUGUGAAAUAACCUGUCUUUUCUAUAUAGAAGCCCUGAUUCACUCUCCCUCUCCACCUUCUAAACAGUGGGCAUGACCAGUCUCUCUGCCACAGGAUCCCCUCUAGGUAGGGAACAGUAUAGCACUGUUCCUGCUCCAGGGCCAUUGAUCAAAGAACGCCGAAUGCGACACUAAGAUGAUUUCAGCUUGUAUUUAAGGGACACCCUCUAAGCCCCAUGUCCAGGAAGGCCAUGAGCACAAGGGGUGCCAUACCAGACACUGGUUAUGGGGCUGCCCCACGUAGAACUCCCAGGGAAGUUCAUUUCGUGCCCUCUCAGCCUUCUACUUCUUAUCCCAACCCGGUGGGGGUUUUUGGGGAUU